This 490-nucleotide ribosomal RNA is filed under the name uncultured bacterium. RNAcentral's name for it is "partial 16S ribosomal RNA". It matches the Rfam family "Bacterial small subunit ribosomal RNA", at positions 30 to 507 of the family's 1533-position model. The record is from RNAcentral.
AUUGAACGCUGGCGGCAGGCCUAACACAUGCAAGUCGAACGGUAACAGGAAUCAGCUUGCUGAUUUGCUGACGAGUGGCGGACGGGUGAGUAAUGUCUGGGAAACUGCCUGAUGGAGGGGGAUAACUACUGGAAACGGUAGCUAAUACCGCAUAACGUCGCAAGACCAAAGAGGGGGACCUUCGGGCCUCUUGCCAUCGGAUGUGCCCAGAUGGGAUUAGCUAGUAGGUGGGGUAAAGGCUCACCUAGGCGACGAUCCCUAGCUGGUCUGAGAGGAUGACCAGCCACACUGGAACUGAGACACGGUCCAGACUCCUACGGGAGGCAGCAGUGGGGAAUAUUGCACAAUGGGCGCAAGCCUGAUGCAUCCAUGCCGCGUGUAUGAAGAAGGCCUUCGGGUUGUAAAGUACUUUCAGCGGGGAGGAAGGGAGUAAAGUUAAUACCUUUGCUCAUUGACGUUACCCGCAGAAGAAGCACCGGCUAACUCCGUG